AUAAGUGAAUCGAAUUACAAAAGUACUAGAGUCGAGAUGAUACCUUCUCUCUUCUCAAAUUGAAACUUAAAACUUGAGAACAUAUAUAUUGCUAAAGAAUAGACAAAAAUAUACAGAUUUGAGUAGAUAUUCAACACAAGUAACGAAAAUGAGACCGUUAUGAUAACCACACACCCAAAUUUGAAUAGAUUUGUCAUCAUUGAUUAAUGUCAAUCAAACCUCCUCCACG
Molecule: long non-coding RNA, 229 nt
Filed under: Panax ginseng (ginseng)
Lineage: Eukaryota; Viridiplantae; Streptophyta; Magnoliopsida; Apiales; Araliaceae
Description: long non-coding RNA (PGIN_LNC013429)
Source: RNAcentral